This is an RNA transcript of Plasmodium vivax (malaria parasite P. vivax), 925 nucleotides long. It is a transcript of the gene named internal transcribed spacer 2, with no coding region annotated. The transcript has a single exon. The record is from RefSeq and is a predicted model, not a curated record. Lineage: Eukaryota; Apicomplexa; Aconoidasida; Haemosporida; Plasmodiidae.
UCCAAGAGGUCUCUUUACCCAAAGGGGCCUCACCAAUUGGCAGUACUUCUAUUAUUUUUAAGAAAUUUAUUUAUAAAUUUCGCCUACUGCAGUAUGGAUUCACGGCAACAGCGCGAAAUGAAGCUCUUCCUAAGUGUAUAUAUAUAUAUACAUUUGGGGGGGCGGAUGGCACUGGAAACGAGGGAGGAUCUCUACAUUUGCCCAUAAACGAUCGGAUAGAUUUCGAGACGCUAAAAAUGUUCCUUGUUACAGAGCAUGAUAGAAACCUCACUUGAUGAGUCUUCAUGUUGCGGUUCAAUAUUGGAUACCACUUGUAGAGAUAUACACGUGCGGAAUUUAUUUCAGUACGUAAGAAUCAACAGUAGGCUUUUACCCCAAAGGAGGGGAAGCAUGUAUGCCUUGCGAUAAUAUUUAUCGUAAAGGUGUAUGUGUAUUCCCCUUCUUUCGUAUUAACCGAAGAGUAUUUCCUUCGUGUGCCGUGAGUUGGCCACAAAAUAGUCCGCGGAUCGGUGAGUUAUAAGUACAUGCUGCGUUUUAUACGUAUGUAUGUCCCUUAUGCGAGCCGCUUCCUUCGGGCUAUGAAUUUUUCUUAGCUGCAUACCCAAUACUUCGGUAUAUAAAGUGGGGACAACCAGUUAAAAAAAAUUCAUCAUGGAGGACGAGGAUGUUAAGAUGUUGAAGUGAUACUUGCCCGCGGGUUUGCAUUUUUAUUCAGGUGUGUUUUACUCUUGAAUAGAGAAGUAUCUCUGUACGUAGGGGUAGUAAAUAUGAAUGUAUAUACAUGGACACUCAUGUAUAUAUCUCUCUUUUACAGUGUAUUAUUUUAGGGUCUAACCAUUUUCCCUUCCCAUGACAUAGGUUUUGCGGGUGGGUAUUUGUAGCAGCCCGCGUUGCACUACCUAUAAAACAUAUUUCAGUAUUGAAU